AACACAUGCAAGUCGAACGAAAAGACGGAAAGAGCUUUGCUCUUUUCAGAAUUGAGUGGCGGACGGGUGAGUAACGCGUGGAUAACCUGCCUCACACAGGGGGACAACAGUUGGAAACGACUGCUAAUACCGCAUAACACAAGUAAUUCGCAUGAAUAACUUGCCAAAGAUUAUAUCGGUGUGAGAUGGAUCCGCGUCUGAUUAGCCAGUUGGCGGGGUAACGGCCCACCAAAGCGACGAUCAGUAGCCGACCUGAGAGGGUGACCGGCCACAUUGGGACUGAGACACGGCCCAAACUCCUACGGGAGGCAGCAGUGGGGAAUAUUGCACAAUGGGCGCAAGCCUGAUGCAGCGACGCCGCGUGAAGGAUGAAGUAUUUCGGUAUGUAAACUUCUAUCAGCAGGGAAGAAAAUGACGGUACCUGACUAAGAAGCCCCGGCUAACUACGUG
RNAcentral lists this ribosomal RNA (450 nucleotides) under uncultured bacterium. Its description in RNAcentral is "bacterial SSU rRNA". It matches the Rfam family "Bacterial small subunit ribosomal RNA", at positions 50 to 507 of the family's 1533-position model. The record is from RNAcentral.